CUUUUGGUGAAUCUACAUGCAGUAUCAAUAUGCAAUGCAUUUGUUAUGCGCAGUGGAUUGCAUAUUACGUCGGCAGGUCGGUUCACCGAGUUAAAUGACCUCAUAUCAUGAACACACUACUACAACAAGCUGCACUUUCCGCAGGAAUAUUGCGCAAUAAAGUUUAUAAAAGUGUGCAGGUUGCGUUACGUAAUCAUUGUGCAGUUGGUAUCAUUUGACGUUUUGUAAACAGAAAACGAUUUUCAUUUGUAACAAUCGGACAUUAUUAAGUUGAAUGUACACACAAUAUGAAUGUAAGUGGUUUUACACUUCGGAAAUGUGAUAUUUCUAGAAAAAUUUAAGGGAUUAGAUGAUAUAUAUCAAAAAAAAUUGCAAGGGAACUGUUUCUUUGAACAUUUAAUGUGGAUUAUUUUCUUUCGCACUUUCUUAAAACUCGUGUGUUACAGAUGUGUUGCAAGCAAAGUGAUGUCACCACUUUUGGAAUUUAACUUUAACAAAAUGAAUUCAACAAUAUUACAAUCAGGAUAUUUCUACCUGGAUCUAAUAUUUUUUUAUGCAAAGUGGGUUUUUAACUGAAGGAUCGUACAGAAUACCAGGCUCAAUGUAACAGACGCGUACAGAUGGUGAUCUUUUUAUCUUUCUACAUAAAUCAUUUCUUUACAAUACAGUUGAUUAAAUAAUAGUCUCACCUGUUAAGCUUGACCACCAGAGUAUGACAUUAUUGAUCCGUUAAGCGGUCAUUUCAGGCCACGGACAGAGCGAUCUGACCUCACAUGCCCCCGCAUCCUUACAAAUCGACCGCCAAUAUCUCCCGCCAUCAUCUGAAGGAUUUGCUGAUUGAUCAGUUAGUGAUGUCUUUCAAAAUUGCAAAGUAUAUCCAUUUUCACGCCAAAUGUACAAAUUUCAUACUACAGAAUGGCUUUGACACAUAAUCGAGUUCCUAAAGUUCCGUAUUAUACUAUAGAAAGAUGGUUACUUUAAAUGACCUUAACUUUGAAUUCCAGACAGGUUUCAAAUUCUCCUAACUGUAUCGUUUGGAAUACACUUGUAGGCGGGCGUUAUCAAUAUAAACGUCUAAUUCAUUGGUUAACUUCCAAUGAAAUCAGCCAGGGGGAAAUUUACCAUUAUUUUCAUUGGUUUAAAAAUCAAUACAUUGCUUAUUGCUUAGGAAGACAUCUUUAUGAACCCUAACAAAAUAUUACGCUAAGAACGCAAAAAAUCCACUAACUCGAAUAAGUUAAUUUUGCAAUUAUCAAAUAUGAGAUGAAUAUAGAUCAAUAUAUAAUACAAAAUUUUUAAAACAGUCAAUUAUUAUUUUUACGUCACUACAUUUAAAUAAAUCGGAAAUAUAUUAUUUAUUGUUGCAAGGCGGAAGACAUGAUUUUUGGCGGACUUCUUAUAACGACUUUCAUGAACAAGACUAAUACAACAUAGCACUUUUUUAAGAUCUUUUUACAUUCAUGCAUCUCUAUAAAGAUUGCCGAACAAAAUAUAUUAAAAUCAUGGCGAAGAAUACUCAAAGCCUUUUUCCGAUUAUAACUAAAUUAAAUCUGCAGUCGAGCAAUAAUUGUUCUGAUAUAUUGUCGAACUAUAUUAAUGCAAACCACCACGGAAAAGACAGACACAUUAUGCGCGAUCUCUAUCUGUCAGCCAUUGACAUAGUCUGGAAAACCCAAUAUUUCCCAUAAACAUGUCUGCCUAAUAAAUAUCAGACUUGAUCAAUCUGCAAACUCAAACUUGUUUUCUAUUUAGUUGCACUGAUGAAUAUGCGAUACAAAAAUUUAAGUUUAACUAACAGGCGCUUUGGACAUGUCCUCUCCCCCUUUAUUAUAUAUUUUCAAUAAGUUUUCAAUUUCUUUAAUAAUUAUUGAAAGUAGUUCACGUUAUAUGUGCUGUCAUUUUAUAGUAGAAAGACAUGACAUAUACACUGCUUCCAAUGUUUAAUUGUUUUGAUAUGAUGAAGAACACUUUGAAGCAAGCAAAGGAAACAGGAAAUGCCUUUAAAAAAUAAAUUAUACUUCGUGUAAAAAAAAAUAAUAAGACAAAGUCCUUGCUCUGGACCGCUUGUUGUUCAACUGUCCUUAUUUUUAACAAAUAUAUAUCAUAAUAAAAGUUGUACAUUAUUAUUUUACGGUUUGUUGUUAUUAUCAUUCCCAUUUUAAUUAUUAUUUUCAUUUCCAAAUAAUUAAUAUUAUUUUUAUCUAUUUAUUGUGAUUAUUUAUCAAUUUAGUAAUGAUUUAAAUUCAUUUUUUUUUUUUUGUAAAAAUUGGGAUCACAACGCUGCAUUUUCGAUUUAUGUAUACAAAGUUUUGGAAUAUAGAAUCAAUGCGAUCAUAGUAGACCUGAACUAUCAUCAUAUGUCAAUAAUUUUAAACCUCAUGUUCCUUUGGUAGCACCAUAUGUCUACUGUGGUACAGUUACAUAUGUUCAUAUAUUACAGCAACGUGUAUGUUUAUCAGUGUCCUUGUAUCUGCUUAGCUGCUGUAGAUAUAAGAGUUAACAAAUGUAAAAGCAUAUUUACGAAGCUUUAUAUAUAAUCCUUCGACUUUGUUUAACUUUCGUUUUGACCCCCAAAAUAUUUAAAAACUUAAAUAAAGGAAACCUAAAAGACUUGUUUGUGCAUUAUAUGAAUGCGCAUUCAUAUAAUGCACCAUGCACACAUUUAUGAUUGAGGUGUUGCACUUUCGAAUCACAGAAUUAGUUUUGCAACAUAUGUAGAGUUUUUUUCUACUAAUCUAUUUGUUGAUUUUACAAUCCUAACUUUGUUAUCCAUAAAUUAAAAACAUGUAUGAAUUUAGAUUUUAUGUAGGACGUACAUAAGAUAUCCUGUUCACCUUUGACACACUUUACUUUGACUAUUUUAGGUUCUAAUUAAUUUGUCUAAAUCUUUGUGUAUAUAUACUAUACACCUUUAUCUUAUUCUUGUUUUCAUUAAUUUAUGUCGUUUGAAAGCGUUACACACAAGAGUUUAUUGGUUUUUUUUACUUGCAUUUAAUUGUAUUCAAUGCAUAUAUGAAGAAAUAAAGCUGUAAAUGGUUCACAAUAGCAAAAACAAUCGACACAAAUAGUUGUCUAUACGAUCUCUAAUGAUAUCAACAAUAAGACAAGUGUCUAAAUAACACGUCAAGCUCUUAGUGCCCCUGUCAAAUCAUAUAUAUAUACAUACAUCAAUUAUAAAUUAAAAAUAGAAUAUCAAAAAUAUGCCGCAUGAAUACAAACUCUUAAAGGACAGAAAGGUAUGAGUUUAUUGUCUGCUCAUCGUUGAAAUCCUUGCGGUUACCAAUAGUUGUCUCAAUGGCAAGCAUUAUACCAUAAGCAUACUAUAUCCCUAUUUUUUAUAUGACAGGCAGAUUUCUGACCGUUGACAGGUUUAAUACCAUGCAGCUUGCUGCAAGGUUAAGAUCAUCCUUUGAGAGUACUCGAUCCUCCUUUGCAUGUAUAUUUGGCAUGCAUAUCAAACGUUUUCCCCUUUAAAUUAUUUUUAACAACUUGAAAUCGUCUAUAGUAAUAUCAUGCGACAAUAUAUCAAAACAAAUAUAGCUCGACUGCCGAUUUUAUUUUGUCAAUUUGUGAUUUUUUUCAUCAUGAUGUUAACACGGUUAAUGUCCAUUAAAAUUAACUUUUUCAUUAGAUUGAUGAAUUUUUAUAACAUGAAAUAUAUAAAUUAUAGAUGUACAUGUAAUAUAUUUCUACACAAAAUAUAUCACAGUGAAUUGUUAUUCUUGCCGUUUCGGUCAUGGACAGUUAUCUUUGACAAAAGUAAACAUUUUUGCAAAAAAUCUAUAUUUUAUUGAUAGAAAUAAAAGAACAUUUUUUUUCAAAUAAAGCUACACAAAAAGCGUUCAUAAUUUUUCCCUGUUAAUCAUUGUUCAUGACUCUGCACACUGCUCUUGUUCACCACACAUAAGAGUGUAUAAUGGCGUUUAUAUAGUAGAUAUUAAUUUAGAAAAAUUAAAAAAAAAAAAAAAAAAAAUGAGAACAAAGGCGGCAUAUAGAUUAAAGAAUAAUUGGGUGCUAAAUUAUUGAAAUAAGUAAUUGGGCGUAAAGAAUAAAGAAUGUUAAAAGAAUGUAGAAAUUGUUGUCCAAAAAUACAAAUGAGUACAAAAUGAAUACCAAACUUUCCACCCCAUAUAUAACCGUUUUAAAACUUUUGGUUUUUGUUCUGUUGUUGCUUUAUCAACCGAAAACUCCAUUGAUUCAACUUCGACCUAUCAUGUGAGAAAGAUGGUCUUCAUUAUACUGGUCUAGGUCUAUUCAAAUCAGCAAGUUAAUUUGUAAAUUUUUACAGAAGAUAUGUUCACUUCCUUUCACUACCCUUAGAGAACCUAAAUAUACUGAUUAUACGCCAAGGUAUCUUUACAUUGUCCCUUCUCCCUUCUCCCUGCAGACUAAAGAUACUGAUUAUACGCCAAGGUAUCUUUACACUGUCCCUUCUCCCUGCAGACUAAAUAUACUGAUUAUACGCCAAGGUAUCUUUACAUUGUCUCCCCGCAGACUAAUCCUUUACAAAUAUUGUUCUCAACCCCUAUUGUUUUCUUUGUAUAAUCUUCGUUAAGUAAAUCACUCUUCAUACAAACAGUUAGAAUCUACCAAGUACUUACACUUAACCUAAAAACCGCGUAAUAUAACGACUCUUUUCGUUAUCUCAUAUAAGAUACUCUUUAAAAGUUUUGUAUCUGUACACGUUUUACAGAAACCGCAAGUGUGUACAUAACCUCAAAGUCUGUCAACCACCCUGCAAUGAUCCCGUAGUAGUGUGUUUCAAUAGUUUAAACAGAAAGUAUAUGGGUAGAUCCUAUAUAUGUUGGGUCAAGCUUAAGUUAAAAUAUGUGUUUACUGCUUCUCCACAAAGCAUGCACUCGGCAUUUAGAAUUUGAAACACUGAAAACUGAUCGACUUAAAGCCACAACAAUUUGUCUGUUUGAGUAAAAUAUCUAUUUGUAUUUUUUAUCUUUGUAAGGCAUCAUAUAAAGAAUCCAACAUUGUUGUUUUUUUGCAAUGCAGAGUUUAUAUAUUCGAACUACACAGUGCCUGUGAAAAAAGGCGGAGUGCGACUUAUAAAAAGUAUCUAAAGUCCGUCUGAGUUAUAUACAUCUUUAAAAACUAAUAACUUAAAGUUUUUGGUUGCUUUAUUGUAAGCAAUCUUUGCUUUUUUUCUGUGCCAAUUAUAAGAAAAAAACACCAUAUAAAUCUCUUUUUUGAAGACCCAAAGAACUCGAACACAUUUUUGUCUUAAAGCUCUAUCUACUAAUACGUGUUUGGUGUAUGUUUCUGAAAAUUCCGUAAGAUAAAUCCAGAAUGAAAUUAACAAUUUCUGUAUUUUUUGCACUUUGAUAUACUCUCUUUUUUUUGGGAAUUUGCAAGUUUAUAUGUACUGUUUUCUCUGGUGUCAAAAUGUCUAUGACAACGUGUCUAAUUAUAUACAUCUGUUUUUAAAGGCUUCGAUCCGAUGUGUCUGCUUUAAACCUGAUUAAAAAAUGUCGGUGUUCCUUGCUAAUAUAUGCCUUUGUCGAAUAUUCGAAUGUUUUUCAUUUUCACUUCCAUUCUCUUCUUGACGUUUACUUCUAUUUUUCUGUAUUGCUGUUCCAAUAUUUGAUUGAUAACACUUGUGAUAUUUUUAAAACAAGUUUUCGAUCAAACUGUUGGCGAGACUAAUCGAAUUUAUGGCAUAGUGCCUUCUGUAACGUCAGGCUUUUUUUAGAUGACGUAUACGACGCUGUACAGUUGCAAUAUAUUUAUUGAUAAGUGCUGGCAUCUUCAACGGGACUUCAACGGGAUGAUUAUGUUAGAUUCCUACCACUUUUGCAUUCAUAAUAACAGUCUAACAGACACUCUUAUUAUCUUUAUGUUUUCUCGGUAAGACUUUCUUUUAAUGUCUAUACUAAAAGGGAUUUGGAAGUUUGUAGAUUUUUUUAUAUUGUAAAUUAUUUCCCAAUGUAUCUACCAUGCAACAUCAGACGUAGAACAUUGCAUCUCUUAUUCAACUAUUUUAAUAGUGAAUCAAAAGAAAUAUUUGCUCAAACCUGAACGCACUUUCGACACUGUUCUAUCUCCUGUAUUUGUCACAUCUUGAAACAAAAUGAUUACACGAGUCCACAUUACUGAUAAAAUGUUAAAUUCAUAAAAAUAUUUAUUUUUUUUCUCUACAUUUCAUGCCUCAAUUGAAGUAAUGAAUAAUGUAAAAAUAUUAGGAAGAUAUAAAAGGGCACAUCCAUCGAAGAAAGACGACAAAUUCGAUGGUCCAAGGCAGAAAAAAGAAAAGACAAAUAACAUGCCACAAUACACUAAACUUCAAACUAAAGACUUAUCAUCACUAACACAGUCAUAAGGUGUACAAUAAGAUGGUUAGCAGUUCCCGAUCAAAAUGAAAUUGCUAGUAAAGAUAUUGUUUAAAUAUCAGCAGAAUUGAAAAAAAACACACUUUUUUCAACUCCAAAAAUUAAACGUUUAAGAUUUAACAAACUUAAUUCAAAAUUUAAGGUUAAAAUCUCCAAUAAGUAUUUGUAUCGACUAUUGCCUAUUGAAUAGUUUGACUAAACUGAAUAACCAACCCUUUCUUAAUGCACCUUGCACUAAUGGAUUUUAGUAUUAGUUCCUCUUCUCGUUGUACAGUUUUCUUUAAGCAUUUUUUAUGCCAACUUUCGGUUUUCUUAAACAUAUGUAGCUUUUUUUUUCAAAAAUCACACCGACCAUUGCUUUCAAAGCUGCCAAACCCAUAUUAAGUCAUUUCUAUACGGCUUCCAUCGUUUACAUUUGUUGUUUUUAUAGUGAUUAAGAUGAUAACAUAAUGUUUACUGCUGUACCCCUAUUUUUGACAUUUUUACCUAUUGUGUCUGUUUGUUUUGUUCACGCAUCGGUAACAAUAUAAUAGAAUUUGAUGCGACUGUCAUACAAGUGAGAGGUUUAGCUAGCUAUAAAACCAGG
Molecule: long non-coding RNA, 6924 nt
Filed under: Mytilus galloprovincialis (Mediterranean mussel)
Lineage: Eukaryota; Metazoa; Mollusca; Bivalvia; Mytilida; Mytilidae
Source: RNAcentral